GAAAAGCUAUGUCUCUACCAUAUGAAGGUUAUAGUUACUAUGAACAAGAAGACCAAAAUGCCACUUAUGAUCAACAUCGGAGCGAAUUUGAAGGCUAGUGUUAGAGUGACGUAGUAGAAACUUACCACACCUCUUACUCGCAAUUUCAAUAAUGAAGUAGUAAAUGUGCCCAUCUUCUUCCUACCGAAACCUUGAUAGAUCAUCAAGAGAAGGGAUAUCGUCAUGGUUCCAGAGAGGAAAUGG
RNAcentral lists this long non-coding RNA (243 nucleotides) under Gossypium raimondii (Peruvian cotton). RNAcentral's name for it is "long non-coding RNA (GRAI_LNC008099)". Lineage: Eukaryota; Viridiplantae; Streptophyta; Magnoliopsida; Malvales; Malvaceae. The record is from RNAcentral.